Non-coding RNA from Fundulus heteroclitus (mummichog), 73 nucleotides. Lineage: Eukaryota; Metazoa; Chordata; Actinopteri; Cyprinodontiformes; Fundulidae. The record is from Ensembl.
GCAUUAGUAGCUCAGUGACCAGAGCCCCGGUCUUGUAAACCGGAUGUCAAGGGUUAAAAUCCCUUCUAAUGCU